UGCAAGUGUGAGAUCGGGCCCAAACAGGUGCCGAGUGCCGCGGGAGGCCGAUUGCAAGUGUCGACAAGCAAUCGGAACGCGUGUUAAGGUGGGUUGGUUUACCGAAGCGACUAGGUCGCCUUUAUGUCUAAGAAACUAAGAAUCCAUGUUGAUGCAUAUAAAUGUAAAUGAAGCAUGUAAAUGAUGCAUGUAGCUAAAUAAUGCAUGUUGAUAGUGUGAUGUAAAUGCUAAAUAGAAUGCAUUAUGAGCAAGUUGAAUAAAGCUAGAUAACUAUGUGAAUGCACGUAAGCAUAAUGCAUAGAAUGAAAUGCAUAUUGAUGACAUAAGUUAAAAUGAGAUAUAGAAUGCAUGAUGAACAAGUUAUAUAAUGCUACAUAAUUACAUGAAUGCAUGUGAGCAUAAUGGAUAGAAUGCAUGUUGACAUUGUGAGAUUAAAUGUGCAUGAAAACUAGGUUGAUAACCCUAGAAUGAUUAAAGUAAAUGAUGCUAUGCUAAAGUAUAGAUGAUAAGCAUGAUAUGAAAACAGUAAAUGCAAGUACAUGUUGAGAAUACUAAGUAAGGAAUAUAUAUAGGUGGACAUGAAUAAACCUAUAGAUUGAGUGGCAUUGAACCUAGUGUCGGAGACAUAUGUUAAAUAGAUGUGAUAUUGAACCUAGUGUCGGUGAACAUAGGUUAAAUAAGAAUGAUGUUAAACCUAAUGUAAAGAACAUAGGUCGUGAAAUGAAAGGUGCUUAACCUAGAGUCAAGUGAACCUAGG
This 757-nucleotide long non-coding RNA is filed under the name Ananas comosus (pineapple). Its description in RNAcentral is "long non-coding RNA (ACOM_LNC016756)". Lineage: Eukaryota; Viridiplantae; Streptophyta; Magnoliopsida; Poales; Bromeliaceae. The record is from RNAcentral.